This 224-nucleotide long non-coding RNA is filed under the name Daucus carota (carrot). RNAcentral describes it as "long non-coding RNA (DCAR_LNC001924)". The record is from RNAcentral. Lineage: Eukaryota; Viridiplantae; Streptophyta; Magnoliopsida; Apiales; Apiaceae.
AAAAAGACAGCUAGAAGACCAAAUAAAACAGUUAAAAGAACAUAUAAACAAACCUAAGAAUGAAAAAAUUUGGAUCGUUGAAGGAGAAUGGAGUAAGCGAAUAUAUAAAAAUGAGUAACUCAGAGGAAAGAAUAAAAGAUAUUUGGAAUGAAAUAUUAGUAAAAGAAGGAUUGAAAACAAUAUUAACAAAAAUAGAGGAAAACCAAGAAAAAAGUAGACAGAUU